This 3303-nucleotide long non-coding RNA is filed under the name Lupinus angustifolius (narrow-leaved blue lupine). RNAcentral's name for it is "long non-coding RNA (LANG_LNC003681)". The record is from RNAcentral. Lineage: Eukaryota; Viridiplantae; Streptophyta; Magnoliopsida; Fabales; Fabaceae.
CCAAAUUCAAAUGUUCUUAGUAAUAAAGUUGAAAUAGUUAUAAUUGAUUAUAAAUCCAGAUACAUCAUAAAAUCUUAAAAACUAAAAGUAAUGUCAUAUAACAAUUUAAAAACAAAAUACAAAACUAAUAUCCUAAAUAUUGCUGGAUCUUGAUAAUCCUCUUGCACUCAAAGGUGCUUUAGACAUACUUGUACCAUCGUUUGUCUGAAAUAAUAAAAUAAAAUAAAAAUAUUAGUUGUAACAAAUGUCCUAUAUUUUUUCUCUGAAGGUUAGUAUUUUUCAUGCUCCCAUAUUGUUACAUUUGUGCUUUGCCACCUAGAGUCUCCCGACAAUUGUUCACUUCUUCCUUAACAAAUGACUAGUACAUGUGUGCUCGACUCAAUUGAGCUAGCCUCACAGAAGAAUACAUAGCCAUUUAUUUACACAAGACCUUGUUUUUAUUGCUUCUUUUAGUCAUUUGGUCUUUUAGUCUUAUCUGAUUCAUUUUUAUACUAAGCCUGAAGGUGGAUCAUAGACCCUUCGGAGAAGUCAUGCACAUUUUAGUUAAUGGUGAUUAAAUAUAGAAGCAUAUAUCAAACGUUGUGUUUUGAGCAUAAGAGUAGUCAGUCAGAUUACUUGUGUUGACUGAAAAGCAGGUAGUAUGAAAACUAAGCUUCAAGUUAACAGAUUGACACAAUUAAUGCAUUAUUGUCCUCUUCACUAUACAUGGGACUGCAAAAAAACAACAGAGUUUAAUUACAUGAGACUAUAAAACACGCCACUCUUGCUAAAAUAAGUGAGGAACAUAACUACCUUUUCCAUCACUGUGAGUGCCUUAGGAUCUCUAAGAGGCCAGGCAAUCUCUUCAACAUCAUCAAUCGCAAGUUUUAGUACAGCCUUCAGGACUUCCGUAGAAGACUCUAUCUUUUCCUACAUAGCAUGAUCAAGAUUACUAGUCAGAAGAAACAAUAAACAAAGUCAAAGAACCUUUGAACAAUGGCCCAAGGAGUCAAGAGGGGUGGGUACUUUAGUCUUAUUAACCACGCGAUGCACCACAGUCAUAAUAGUUGUAAAUAUAUGUGCUUUGCCACCUAGACGUAUCUCAUUUGGUUAAAACCCUCAUAGUCAUAGAUGUGUUUAACCACUUUGGACAUGAAAUUUGUAUCUUAAACUAACUACUACAUUGCCACUUUCAACUUCUUUUUCAUCUGCACACAAGACUCAUUCCAGCCUGAAUACUUUUAUGGAAUCACUUUUAGACAAAUACAAACAUUGACUUAUAAUAUUUUAUUUGACCUCAGAGUGCUACAACUGACCAAGGAAAAACGGUAUGUAACUAUGUAUAUUACCAAAUGAUCUUAACGAAUUAACAAUGACAGAGUCCUAUGUAGUGUUUAUGUUUAUUUUAUUUAUUAUGAGAUUCACUAGCAGAAUGACAUUCCCUUCAAAUUGAAAAGGCCUUAGCAUGAUUCAUUAAUCCAUGUUAUGGACACAUGCAUAUAAAUCAUACAUUUUCAUUUUCAAUGCUCCAUCCAGUUUAUCAUUCAAUGUAAGCAUUUUUGGGUGAAAUUGUUAAUGGUAAAAGGUUGAGUAUUAGGUUAAAAGGCAACAAGGAUCAUUUAUAGAAAAACAGACGAAAAAAUGGUGACAAGGCAAUUUAAGCAUCAAAAUAUAUUGACUAACUGAAAAAACUCUCAGUAGAAUGUGAUGAAUUCAUGUAAAAAAGGCUUGUUCAUGUUCACUGUGUUUUAAGCCUCAAAAGAUUAGAAAAAUAAUAACAGAACAUCCAAAAUGCCAAAGGCUAAGUUAUUAUCAUGUUUCUAAUAACACAAUCAAGUUGGAAUAACCAGAACAAGAUCAUAAUACACUAUAAGAUUGGCACCAGAAACAACAAUAUAUCACGCAUAUAGAUCUAAUAUAUGCUAAAUCAUAAAUGAUAAAUGGUUAUUUGUCUAUUUGAAAUACAUGAAGAUUCUCUAUAACAGAGAAUAGUGAGUUCCAACAAGAAAAAGAAGGAAAUUGAAUUCAAAAAGCUGCAUAAUUAAAUUUUACUAUAAUGCCUGAAAUGAGCACUCCAACUUAAAAUUUAACUUUUGCAAGAACUGUACAACUAUUUGAGAAGAGAGAGAUAGUGCCUAUAAGACAAUGUGCUAUAAAGCUCCUAACAAAGGCAGGGUAGCCUAAAGUUAGCCUAAAGUUCACCUAGGAUUACCAAAUUCAUUAACCUCAGAGUGCCAAAACGGACCAACGAAAAACAAUUUGUAACCAUGUAAAAAGUUCAUGUGACACCUAAGAAAAUUUAAAGGAGUAUUACGCAACAGACAUCACAAACUAAAUACCUCUAGAUGAAUAUAUCAUCUUAAGAGUGAGGAUAGGAAGAGAAUGAAGAUAGGAAGAAGACUAGUUUAUAUGUCAUGGAUUAUUCAAACCAUCAAACGACUAACUGAUUAUCGCCCAUGUAGGAAUAGCAAAUUACAUAUUACACAUUAUAACCCUUAAUCACUUGCUCUAAGAGGAUGCAGAUUAAGGCAUCUAAAACGACGGUCUAGUGCACAAGACUCCCAUCUAGUGGGUUUUUCGCAUCCUUAACCUCACAAGUGAAAAGGUUGUUUCCAGGAUUUGAAGGCAUAACCUUCAGGUCACAAGGCAAGCAACCUUACUAUUGUGCCGAGGCUCACCCUCUAUACAACUUAAGGAAUGUACACUGACCUCACCUAAAGUUUAGCUCAAUUGCACUCAAGACUCUUAUUAUUUCAAAAGUUACACUUUGGAUCAAUUUAACCUCCAUCACCUCCUAAUCGAAAGUAAAUGUUUGAUAAUAUUAAAAAUGAAAGGAGUUGAGUGCAGGGCUUUGAAACAAUCAGUAAUCUGAGUGUGGUUAAACCAAGCCUCGAGAAAAUUAGUGUAAUUUCCCUAAAAUAUAAAAUUCUACAUCAAUACUUAUGUCAGGCUGGAACAAAAACAUAACUUCAUUUUUUAUGCCAUAUAUUUUAUCUUCCAAUUACCAAAUAGCAUAGAAAUAUGAUUACAUUGGUGCAACUAGUAACAUACUAAACACUUCAUCAAUUCCAUAUAAAACAAUGAAAGUAGAAACCUAAUAGACCUUGAAGCAGCUAAACAAAAAUUGCCACAACAUAUUAGGUUAAUCAUUUUCCACCCACAAGUCUAUGAAAUCACGCAAGGUGAACAAAAAACGAAAUGUAGAAAAAAAAUGAAGAGAACGAUGCCAGUUACCUGAUGAGAGAAAAAAACGAAAUAUAGAAAUGAGAGAGAAAGUGUGUAAGCAAAAGAGGAUAAGGAGAGAAUGAAGAUAGGAAGAAGUUA